Molecule: ribosomal RNA, 465 nt
Filed under: uncultured bacterium
Lineage: Bacteria
Description: bacterial SSU rRNA
Rfam family: Bacterial small subunit ribosomal RNA
Source: RNAcentral
CCUACGGGUCGCAGCAGUAGGGAAUCUUCCACAAUGGACGAAAGUCUGAUGGAGCAAUGCCGCGUGAGCGAAGAAGGUUUUCGGAUCGUAAAGCUCUGUUGUAAGGGAAGAACACGUAAGGGAAUAACUGCCCGUAUCUUGACGGUACCUUAUUAGAAAGCCACGGCUAACUACGUGCCAGCAGCCGCGGUAAUACGUAGGUGGCAAGCGUUGUCCGGAAUUAUUGGGCGUAAAGCGCGCGCAGGCGGUUCUUUAAGUCUGAUGUGAAAGCCCAUGGCUCAACCGUGGAGGGUCAUUGGAAACUGGAGAACUUGAGUACAGAAGAGGAAAGCGGAACUCCACGUGUAGCGGUGAAAUGCGUAGAGAUGUGGAGGAACACCAGUGGCGAAGGCGGCUUUCUGGUCUGUAACUGACGCUGAGGCGCGAAAGCGUGGGGAGCAAACAGGAUUAGAUACCCGAGUAGUC